RNAcentral lists this ribosomal RNA (489 nucleotides) under uncultured bacterium. RNAcentral describes it as "partial 16S ribosomal RNA". It matches the Rfam family "Bacterial small subunit ribosomal RNA", at positions 30 to 507 of the family's 1533-position model. The record is from RNAcentral.
AUUGAACGCUGGCGGCAGGCCUAACACAUGCAAGUCGAACGGUAACAGGAAGCAGCUUGCUGCUUUGCUGACGAGUGGCGGACGGGUGAGUAAUGUCUGGGAAACUGCCCGAUGGAGGGGGAUAACUACUGGAAACGGUAGCUAAUACCGCAUAACGUCGCAAGACCAAAGAGGGGGACCUUAGGGCCUCUUGCCAUCGGAUGUGCCCAGAUGGGAUUAGCUAGUAGGUGGGGUAACGGCUCACCUAGGCGACGAUCCCUAGCUGGUCUGAGAGGAUGACCAGCAAAACUGGAACUGAGACACGGUCCAACCUCCUACGGGAGCAAGCAGUGGGGAUAUUGCACAAUGGGCGCAAGCCUGAUGCAGCCAUGCCGCGUGUAUGAAGAAGGCCUUCGGGUUGUAAAGUACUUUCAGCGGGGAGGAAGGGAGUAAAGUUAAUACCUUUGCUCAUUGACGUUACCCGCAGAAGAAGCACCGGCUAACUCCGUG